CUGUGAUCUUCCAUUUCUGGUCAUUCCAAGCUGAAUGUUUGAGCCUAGAAUGAAAACUUAUCUGCUUCAAAUAGUUUCUCAGGGAUUAACAGAGAAACAAAAUAAAAACAAAACCAAAUUGCUCAAAAAUAUGCCUGCUUGCACAAAGAGCAUUUACUUGAAGCUAAACCAUAAAACCCUACUUUUUUCCCUUUUCAGAUGUAAUUGUUACAUAUGUUCAUUAUGAAUACAUAAUGAGGGCCCAGAACAGAUGGUGCUGACUUAAAAUGACAUGCACUGCAAGCGAUGCUGGUCCAUAAGGGGGCUGCUGCUGUCCCUGAAGGCACCAAAUGAGGGGGUGGUGGUCAGCAGAGAAGCCCUGAGGCUGGUCUGGCUUGCCUGUGGCCCGGAAAGGAGCUGCUGGGCACUGAGCCAUAUUUGGAAGAAUCUUGGAGCAGAAUUUGGAGCUAGUCCUGUGCUUGUCACAGCCUUGUUGGUGUCCUAAGAUUCCCUCUAAAUGGCCGUGAUGUCAACUCCGAGGACUAGAAGAACCUUGCAGAGAGUUCUGAGCCAUGUAUGAAGAUGGAAAAGCACUAUAAUUCCAUGUCCUCUUGCAACUAUUCAGACCUAACAUUGGAAGAUAAGUCUGAGUUGGAGGGAGCUGGUGGUUCUCACUCAGAGACGGUCAGCACUCUGCUGUUGGGAGACUCCAGUGAAGCUUCUGAACAAGUGGAAUGGGGCGGGCUUCUCUCCUGGAAGCCUGAUCACACUGGGGUCAGGCUCCCACCUGCAGGAACCGGGAAGAGAGGAUGCCAAAGGGAGCAGGGCAGACAAGCUUGGCUCACAGCCACUGAGGUGCAUCCUCAGAUGGGCUACCUGCCAUCUGUGCUGUUGGUGCCUGGAUCAGGGUGGCAGCAGAAGUGAGGGGGGACAGGGAAAUAGAAAGGGACCGCGGUGGAAGGAGGCUGGGGAAGUACCUCGAAAUAGAGACUGUUUCCAACCAAGAAUCAGCAAUCUGUCCUGUCUUGGUGAGUGAGGGUCUCUGGGUCUACUAGGAAUAGAGGGCACACAGGCUCUGGUGCGGACUGGGUAUGUUUGGACUGGGUAUGUGUGAUCUGGACUGUCCUCGCUGGGGUUUCCCCUGGAGGAAAUGACAGUAAGUAAACAACAACAGUCUCAUGUUCAGGGCCAGGUAUUUUCCUAUGGAAUCAAUGAGGGUCGCAUUUGACUGCCAGGUAUACACUUGCCAGGUAUUGGCUUGUUUCAAAUUCAGUUAAAAUGCUUUCUAUGGGACAUUCACUCACCACGGUGCCUCAGUCCGUUUUUCCUAUUCUAUUACUCAUCUACUAC
This 1329-nucleotide long non-coding RNA is filed under the name Capra hircus (goat). RNAcentral describes it as "lncRNA (ENSCHIG00000002329.1)". The record is from RNAcentral. Lineage: Eukaryota; Metazoa; Chordata; Mammalia; Artiodactyla; Bovidae.